This 1434-nucleotide ribosomal RNA is filed under the name Triticum aestivum (bread wheat). Its description in RNAcentral is "partial small subunit ribosomal RNA". Lineage: Eukaryota; Viridiplantae; Streptophyta; Magnoliopsida; Poales; Poaceae. The record is from RNAcentral.
AUGCUAAAGGCAGCGGAGGUAGAAAUCAAGAAGGAGCAUCAAGUGUUGAUUGUCAAUAAGACCACUAGUUUCAAGAAAAAGGGUAAAGGGAAGAAGAAGGGGAACUUCAAGAAGAAUAGCAAGCAAGUUGCUGUUCAGGAGAAGAAACCCAAGUCUGGACCUAAGCCUGAAACUGAGUGCUUCUACUACAAGCAGACUGGUCACUGGAAGCGGAACUGCCCCAAGUAUUUGGCGGAUAAGAAGGAUGGCAAGGUUAACAAAGGUAUAUGUGAUAUACAUGUUAUUGAUGUGUACCUUACUAAUGCUCGCAGUAGCACCUGGGUAUUUGAUACUGGUUCUGUUGCUAAUAUUUGCAACUCGAAACAGCGGCUAUGGAUUAAGCAAAGAUUGGCUAAGGACGAGGUGACGAUGCGCGUGGGAAAUGGUUCCAAAGUCGAUGUGAUCACCGUCGGCACGCUACCUAUACAUCUACCUUCGGGAUUAGUAUUAGACCUAAAUAAUUGUUAUUUGGUGCCAGCGUUGAGCAUGAACAUUAUAUCUGGAUCUAGUUUAAUGCGAGACGGUUAUUCAUUUAAAUCAGAGAAUAAUGGUUGUUCUAUUUAUAUGAAUAAUAUCUUUUAUGGUCAUGCACCCUUGAAGAGUGGUCUAUUCUUGUUGAAUCUCGAUAGUAGUGAUACACAUAUUCAUAAUAUUGAAGCCAAAAGAUGCAGAGUUGAUAAUGAUAGUGCAACUUAUUUGUGGCACUGCCGUUUAGGUCAUAUCGGUGUAAAGCGCAUGAAGAAACUCCAUACUGAUGGAAUUUUGGAAUCACUUGAUUAUGAAUCACUUGGUACUUGCGAACCGUGUCUCAUGGGCAAGAUGACUAAAACACCGUUCUCCGGAACUAUGGAGAGAGCAACAGAUUUAUUGGAAAUCAUACAUACAGAUGUAUGUGGUCCAAUGAAUAUUGAGGCUCGUGGCGGAUAUCGUUAUUUUCUCACCUUCACAGAUGAUUUGAGCAGAUAUGGGUAUAUCUACUUAAUGAAACAUAAGUGUGAAACAUUUGAAAAGUUCAAAGAAUUUCAGAGUGAAGUUGAAAAUCAUCGUAACAAGAAAAUAAAAUUUCUACGAUCUGAUCGUGGAGGAGAAUAUUUGAGUUACGAGUUUGGCCUACAUUUGAAACAAUGCGGAAUAGUUUCGCAACUCACGCCACCCGAAACACCACAGCGUAAUGGUGUGUCCGAACGUCGUAAUCGUACUUUACUAGAUAUGGUACGAUCUAUGAUGUCUCUUACUGAUUUACCGCUAUCGUUUUGGGGUUAUGCUUUAGAGACGGCUGCAUUCACUCUAAAUAGGGCACCAUCAAAAUCCGUUGAAACGACACCGCGACCGAAUCAGGGCGACGGCAGUGGGGACACGGACGGCCGAGGGACAUCCUACUUCGCAAAGAGAUAG